UUAUAACUUAUUCAGAUAUAUUCUAUUGGCAUUUAAGACAUAAAAAUGUAUUCUACCACAAUAUUAAGGUGUAAACUGUUUUAUAUUGUUUAUUCAGAGUGCUUAUAUUCAAGUGAUCUCCUUAAUAAUGUAUUUCCCUUCUCUUUUAGUGACACAGCAUGUACAGUUUGAUGGCCAGCACUAUGGUUACCUCUGCUUCUGUGAAUCAUUUUGUGACAGACAAGCAAUAUGCAUCCACUGACACAGAGGACAAUUACUGCAAUGUGUGCUUCACAAUGAAGUUACUCCGUACUUAGUAGCGACAAGUUAAAUUGUGCAUACAAUCCAGUCAUGUAACUGUAAACAUUUUUGAAAUACUGCACCAAUAACAUGUUCGAAUGCCAUUUUAUGUGAGAAGUUGUUUAUUUUUGAGGUGCUUAAUAAAAAAUACCAUGACACACUG
This is a long non-coding RNA of Protopterus annectens (West African lungfish), 442 nucleotides long. RefSeq lists it as uncharacterized. The transcript is spliced from 2 exons. NCBI's taxonomy places the organism in Eukaryota, Metazoa, Chordata, Ceratodontiformes, Protopteridae. The record is from RefSeq and is a predicted model, not a curated record.